GCCGGGCAUGGUGGCACAUGCCUGUAAUCCCAGCAGCUUUGGAGUCUGAGGCAGGAGGGUUACGGUUCAAAGCCACCCUCAGCAAAAGUGAGGUGCUCAGCAACUCAGUGAGACCCUGUCUCUA
RNAcentral lists this small RNA (124 nucleotides) under Marmota monax (woodchuck). The record is from RNAcentral. Lineage: Eukaryota; Metazoa; Chordata; Mammalia; Rodentia; Sciuridae.